UGCUGAUUCAAACCUCAUUAUUUAGUGAGCAAAAUGCUUAAUUAAUAUACAAUGUAUGACCAUUGACAUGAGCCUAUCUUAAUCUCCGCACAAGAUAUUGACAACAAAGGCUAACAUAUGUAUAUAAUUCAUGAUCUUAAAGUUUUUUAUUUAACACACUUGGGAUGUGCAUGCAGUCUACUAUACUUCGCAUUAGGCAGAAUACAGAAACUGACUCAUGCCAACGUUAUAUAAAAGUUCAUCACGCCUUACAAAGUGCUGCACUAGUUACACGGUACAUUCGUAUUCAGUCCAUCCAUAUCCCCAUCAAGAGACUACCACCAUGGAUAACAUCUUAAAUCUCUACCUAUCAGACCUCCAGCCAUUGGUACUCUCCCUAUAAUGUCCACUUCUAUAUCAGGUAUCAGUGGGAAGACCAGAGGAAAGCACCCAUGGCAAACUUCCUCUUAUAGUCGAGGUCGCCGGCCACGGGGAGGCCGUACUCCCUAAGGAGGCAGUUUAGCUUCCACUCGGGCAUCGUCUCGUAGUCGGCCUUGGUGUACCUCGGGUAGUGGAGAGGCAUCUGGAAGUAGCUUGCCCUCUCGUUCGCGUGCUGCUUGCCUCUCUGCCCACUGGCCAUGGGGCUCACCUUGGCUACACCGCGGGCGGCCGAGCUCAUGGCUGCCGGCACUCUACUAUAUCCUCUGCCUCGAGUUUUUU
This 699-nucleotide long non-coding RNA is filed under the name Elaeis guineensis (African oil palm). RNAcentral's name for it is "long non-coding RNA (EGUI_LNC076456)". The record is from RNAcentral. Lineage: Eukaryota; Viridiplantae; Streptophyta; Magnoliopsida; Arecales; Arecaceae.